UCGAGGAUCUUUGGCAAUGAGCGCAAGCUUGACCAAGCGACGCCGCGUGUGCGAUGAAGGCCUUCGGGUUGUAAAGCACUGUCGAGGGGGACGAAGCCGAAAGGUUGACCGAUCCCUGGAGGAAGCACGGGCUAAGUUCGUGCCAGCAGCCGCGGUAAGACGAACCGUGCGAACGUUGUUCGGAAUCACUGGGCUUAAAGGGCGCGUAGGCGGCUUGCCAAGUCGGGGGUGAAAUACUUCAGCUUAACUGGAGAAGUGCCUUCGAUACUGGCAAGCUAGAGGGAGGUAGGGGCAUGUGGAACUUCCGGUGGAGCGGUGAAAUGCGUUGAUAUCGGAAGGAACGCCGGUGGCGAAAGCGACGUGCUGGACCUCUUCUGACGCUGAGGCGCGAAAGCUAGGGGAGCAAACGGGAUUAGAUACCCCCGUAGUCC
RNAcentral lists this ribosomal RNA (431 nucleotides) under uncultured bacterium. RNAcentral's name for it is "bacterial SSU rRNA". It matches the Rfam family "Bacterial small subunit ribosomal RNA", at positions 355 to 796 of the family's 1533-position model. The record is from RNAcentral.